Molecule: long non-coding RNA, 2433 nt
Organism: Tripterygium wilfordii
Lineage: Eukaryota; Viridiplantae; Streptophyta; Magnoliopsida; Celastrales; Celastraceae
Exons: 9
Source: RefSeq, a predicted model, not a curated record
UCAUGGGAAACGAUGUCGAGUGGCCCACCAUCUCUGUAUCGGCGUGAUUUUUUGGGAAUCUUUGUAUACAGAACGACGUCGUUUUUGUAGCUUAUUCAACUUGAGCCAUUCGAUUGCUUUUGGUGCUUUUGAUCUGACCGUAAAAACAGAUGCAUGCACUUCUUCUGUUGAAUCUGCUUCUGCAAAAGUCUCCUACUCUGUCCUGUGCCUCAUCUUCCUUUCUCCCCUGCUUUCUCUGUCCCCGAAUCUCUCUCGGGCCAUUGGGUUUUCCCUCUCUACUUCACACAGCGUGAGCUUCGUUUUGUUACGGUUGACGUCGGGAGCUUCGAUUUACUACGGGCUGAGUGUUCCUUUUGCUACAAAAUGGAGGGUUGGAUUUGCUUUGGGUGUUUGGCGUGGUUCAUAGCUUUGGUACUAUCAGCAGUGGCGGAGAUAGGCGGGAGGAGUGGGGUCAAGUGACCCCACUCAAUUUUUUUUUUAAAAAAUUAAUAUAUGUCAUUUUGAUAUAUAAUUGUUUAUCAUUAUAGAAAGUGCGACCCCCCAGUGACAAUCCAUCCCAACUCCGCCACUGACUAUCAGGCAGCUGAGCAGUCUUCGUUCUGUUUCUUUCUUCGGUUGUUCUCCAGUUCUUUCUUCGGCUUGCCAUAGGUGGUUGGGGUGUUUAUCGGUAAGUUGGUGGGUUUAGGAGCUUUGGUGAUGUCUUUGCUUCGAUUUUCUUGCAUGUAGGUCUUGCUUUUUUGUAGGUUCAUCUAUUUGCAGACGAUCUUGAGUGAAGAAAGCGAGAAUGGAACAACAGAUGUACUUGGGCGUCGAAUCAGAGCAGAUUUCUCUGAUCAACUCAUCUCUUCCCAUGCCAUCUCUGAUUCCGCCCUCCCCUUCUCCUCCACCGCCGUCGUUCACGUUUACAAAUACAGCAAGACGGGUAAAACAUUGAUCAAUACUACUGUUGUUCAGGGGAUUCCCUGUUUGGGUAAAAUAUGUUCCCGGCAUUGCCUUCAGAACUGACAAUAGGCCCUUCAAUGUUGGUACUUGGUAGUAAAGGUCAAUGUUAUUAACGGAAUGCACCACAUAUACCAUAAACUUCUUACAUGCAAGUUAGAAGUUCUUGGUGAGAGUCUCUACCAAUAUUAGCUCCAGAUGGUGAGGAAGGGAAGAUGGUCAAACAAAAUUUCAGAAAAAAGUUCUGUGGUGGGGGGUCAUUGGGGGAGGAGCUGGAGAGAACUGCGAAGGGCGGUGAUGUAAUUGUUGACUUAAAUUCGACAUUUGAAGAUUUAUACAUGGAAGGCACUUCUGCGUUGCAUCUAUCUCAACUGUUCCCCUCACAUUGAAGCUUCUGACAAGGCACAUGGAACUAUGCGUGCUGUGAUCGCCUUCUUUACACUUUAUUCAACCUGCUAUUUUUGCAAGCCGAAAAAUGUGGGGAAUUUUCUGCAAUUCCCUCUUCGUCCUUCAUGUCUGUGGAAUUCCGUGGUUCGAUAAUUUUCAUUCCCUGGCCUGUGAAGAAGUAAUACUUUUACUGACCGUCUUCUGGCACAUUUGACAACGGAGAAUAAGAUGCAUGGGAAAACAAAGGAAGCAGAUUUACUAAAGGUAAAGCUUGAGGAGUUUAUGGUACUAGAGGUGAACCGAUGUUAGAUGCUAAGAUGAAUAGAGAAAACAGUCCCUAUAUGAAACAUCAAAUGACGCAUGAGAUUCAGAUUGUGCCAGACGACUCAGGUGAGCUUUGCUUUAAUUUAUCUAUUUAAAAUGUCAAUUAUAAAUCUUAUUGUACAAUUAUAUAUUGUUCACACAUCGUUAUGAAACUAUAUUUGGUGCUUUUGGUUUUGACCUUUUAACAAUGUUCUGACAUUGUUUGGUUUCAAUUCUCAUCGAUCAAGAUUAAUGCUUUAAUUUUCAUAUAAGAAUAUUAAUAUCUGACUUGGUGGUUGUCAUAGUUUCUGCAGCCAAUGGUGAGAUUAUUUUACCAUGUUUGAAUAUAUUGUGGUUUUUCCCCCUUAAUUCUUUUCAGAAUCUUACUCUUUCUAGGGGAUUCAACUUUUUGUUCUAUUCAUGUUCGAAUUUCCCUUCUUUUCUUUCUUAAUCAAUAAUCCUGCAGGGGAAUUUCAUUAAUUCCUACAACAGGUAUCCUUUAUUCAUCAAGCACUGAUUCCACGUUCAUGCUUCUGGUAUCAUUAGUGCCAUUGCUUGGGGGUGUACUCAUGUGGUGAUAACUUCUAUGUAGCGUUGCAAUAUCACAAGGAAUGUUAUUAAUCAGUCCUUCACAUGUAUUUCAUUUUGCACAUGUUGGUCUGCUGUAACAAUUCCAUCCUCUAUACUUUUUGUUACACAUACUGUGUAAUUUCUCACAACAUUCUUUCGUCGCCUUUUGGAAGAGCUUCAUUUUUCAGUGAUUUGGGAUUGGAAUGGGAAAAGAUGGGAAGUUUGGCAUAUUCA